This 253-nucleotide ribosomal RNA is filed under the name uncultured bacterium. RNAcentral describes it as "partial 16S ribosomal RNA". It matches the Rfam family "Bacterial small subunit ribosomal RNA", at positions 524 to 776 of the family's 1533-position model. The record is from RNAcentral.
UACGUAGGGGGCAAGCGUUGUCCGGAUUUAUUGGGCGUAAAGAGCGUGUAGGCGGCCUGAAAGGUCAGCUGUGAAAACUCGAGGCUCAACCUCGAGACGUCGGUUGAAACCAUCUGGCUAGAGUCCGGAAGAGGAGUGUGGAAUUCCCAGUGUAGAGGUGAAAUUCGUAGAUAUUGGGAAGAACACCGGUGGCGAAGGCGGCGACCUGGUCCUUGACUGACGCUGAGGCGCGAAAGCGUGGGGAGCAAACAGG